Molecule: long non-coding RNA, 492 nt
Organism: Cydia splendana
Lineage: Eukaryota; Metazoa; Arthropoda; Insecta; Lepidoptera; Tortricidae
Exons: 3
Source: RefSeq, a predicted model, not a curated record
UUUGUCUAAAAUAGAGAAAGAAAAAUAAUAUAAUCGGUACAGAAGACGUAAAUUUGUGUACAACUUCUCAAAAAUGAUAACCUUUUAGCUUCUAAUUUGUAUUUUACCAAAAGUUUUCAGGGAUGAUGCGAAUAUUCGGUAUCCGGUACAUAGGGCUACCCCGCUUGCAACUCCUAGCAUGUACAAAGACCGCGCUAUUCUGCAGGGCGCCGCGAGCGCACAGAGCUUGUGGGGAGUAACAGUAGAAAAGUAAUAGAAGAAACAACUUUGUGUAUUGGACUCAAGGAUUAUUUUUGUCUGUUAAAAUAUGACACAUCUUGUAGCAGGGUUUAUAUGGCUACCGCGCUUGCAACUCCUAGUCCGUGCAAAGUCCGUGCUGUUCUGCAGGGCGCCGUGAGCGCGCAGAGAUUGUGGGGAGUAACAGUAGAAAAGUAAUAAAAGAAACAAGUCUGUGUGUUGGACUCAAGAAUUAUCUUUGUCUGUUAAAAUAUG